RNAcentral lists this long non-coding RNA (1273 nucleotides) under Phasianus colchicus (ring-necked pheasant). Its description in RNAcentral is "lncRNA (ENSPCLG00000018486.1)". The record is from RNAcentral. Lineage: Eukaryota; Metazoa; Chordata; Aves; Galliformes; Phasianidae.
CACUACUGCCUGCUUGUUACUGUCCAGUUUGUGCCAGUCCUCACCAGUCACUGAGGCUGCCAUCAGUUGCAGCUGUGUGAGACAGUUUAAAUUACCAUCUGGUUUCUACAGGUCUAGACGGAAUCAUCCAUGAAGUUGCAGUUCUUCACAGUAAAUUUUUUCCUAUGUAUUUCAUUUAUAUUGAACUACUUGAAAUAUCUUCUCUUUUAACCUUAAGUAGUUUAAGAUUAGGUGAUGAUGGUGUCCUGUGAAAAGCCACUUGGGUCAGGUUGCUUUGUGUCAGUGCAAACAGACAGUUUUUGCACUUGUAUUUAGCAGUGUGGAAAAGAACAGCUGUGUAGCCAUGGGAUUUACCUACAUGCUGCUAAAAGACCAUCUAGAUGCUCUGACAUCAGAAUGUUUUUCUGAACAUCUGUCUGUCACAAAGGCAGAUAUUAAAAUAAGUGUAGAUAUUAUGUCCAAGUAGAGCUAUGUGAUUAUAUUAAUUCAAGGUUCUUUGGCUUUCAACAUCACAUUUCCCAUUAUAUAAAAAUUGAGCCCUGUGUCCAUACAUGCUUCUUACACUGUCUUCCUUGUGUUUCCUCAGAGAAUGAUUCUUCAUGCCUACAGAGCAUGCAUGCUGCUUUUAGAAAUACUGGUCAAACACAGCUAUAACUUUCCUCACUGCGUCAGAGUGUUUUCCCCAACCCAGUGCAGAUAAGAUGAACUUUACCAGUCUCCAUCACUGUUCUGUCGCAAGAAGUUUCCCAAUUACAUCCAGAAAUUCUCUAGCCUUCAGAUCCCUUCUCCAGAGCUCCCUUCCCUCAUCCCUUGUUUCAUCCACGCUGCCCUAAAUGUGACCACACCACCUAACUUGGAGUCUGAAAUGUAAGAAGUUGCAAAAACAGGCUCUUCCCAGCAGGUGCUGUGGCUGGGUUGUCUUUUCUUCUAGGAACGGGAUUGACCAGCUCCCUGCAGAAGUAGAGGUUCAGUCUUUGAUCGUAUGCUGCCCUUGACUACAGAAUUUAGAAGAACCAAAAACUGUAUGCUCCUAGAGAUGUCCUUCAGUCAUAAAAUGAAGGUCUGGACCAACUGCCUGUUCCGUGGCAUUCUUGGAAGACAAGGGAUGGAGGCCAUUCCAGACUGCAUCGGGGAAAAAUGGGUGUCUGGUCUGAAUUCUCAGCUUGGUUGUGUGGGCACCCUGGAGUAUAACUUCCCUCAUCCCCAGACCCACCUCCAGUGGCACAGCCCUUUGUGGGAGCCUGGUGGUGCCCUCUUAUCAACGGCAGAAUGA